UUCCCUCUGAUUUUGUAGAUGGCUGCCC
RNAcentral lists this non-coding RNA (28 nucleotides) under Mus musculus (house mouse). The record is from RNAcentral. Lineage: Eukaryota; Metazoa; Chordata; Mammalia; Rodentia; Muridae.